RNAcentral lists this ribosomal RNA (435 nucleotides) under uncultured Anaerovorax sp. RNAcentral describes it as "partial 16S ribosomal RNA". It matches the Rfam family "Bacterial small subunit ribosomal RNA", at positions 341 to 792 of the family's 1533-position model. The record is from RNAcentral. Lineage: Bacteria; Bacillati; Bacillota; Clostridia; Peptostreptococcales; Anaerovoracaceae.
ACGGAAGGCAGCAGUGGGGAAUAUUGCACAAUGGGGGAAACCCUGAUGCAGCAACGCCGCGUGAGCGAUGAAGGUCUUCGGAUCGUAAAGCUCUGUCCUUAGGGACGAAGAAGUGACGGUACCUAAGGAGGAAGCCCCGGCUAACUACGUGCCAGCAGCCGCGGUAAUACGUAGGGGGCGAGCGUUAUCCGGAAUUAUUGGGCGUAAAGAGUACGUAGGUGGUUUUGUAAGCGUAAGGUGAAAGCCCGGGGCUUAACUCCGGCGAGCCUUAUGAACUGAAAGACUUGAGUGCAGGAGGGGAAAGGGGAAUUCCUAGGGUAGCGGUAAAAUGCGUAGAUAUUAGGAGGAACACCAGUGGGGAAGGCGACUUUCUGGACUGUAACUGACACUGAGGUACGAAAGCGUGGGGAGCAAACAGGAUUAGAUACCCUGGUA